UGAGAUCAGUCAGAAUAACUCG
RNAcentral lists this microRNA (22 nucleotides) under Drosophila mojavensis. RNAcentral describes it as "Dmo-Mir-9538_3p (mature (guide))". Lineage: Eukaryota; Metazoa; Arthropoda; Insecta; Diptera; Drosophilidae. The record is from RNAcentral.